RNAcentral lists this ribosomal RNA (475 nucleotides) under uncultured Pelagibacterales bacterium. RNAcentral describes it as "bacterial SSU rRNA". It matches the Rfam family "Bacterial small subunit ribosomal RNA", at positions 1 to 527 of the family's 1533-position model. The record is from RNAcentral. Lineage: Bacteria; Pseudomonadati; Pseudomonadota; Alphaproteobacteria; Candidatus Pelagibacterales.
UAGGGUUUGAUCAUGGCUCAGAACGUACGCUGGCGGCACGCCUAAUACAUGCAAGUCGAACGCAGUAGCAAUACUGAGUGGCAGACGGGUGAGUAUAAUGUGGGUAUCUGCCUUUUGGUUUGGAAUAACUUGAGGAAACUCGAGCUAAUACCGGAUAAGCCCUUACGGGGAAAGCUCUAUGCGCCAAAAGAUGAGCCUGCACUUGAUUAGCUUGUUGGUGAGGUAAAGGCUCACCAAGGCAACGAUCAAUAGCUGUUCUUAGAGGAAGACCAGCCACAUUGGGACUGAGACACGGCCCAGACUCCUACGGGAGGCAGCAGUAGGGAAUCUUGCACAAUGGAGGAAACUCUGAUGCAGCGAUGCCGCGUGAGUGAGGAAGGCCUUUGGGUUGUAAAACUCUUUCGUCGGGGAAGAAAAUGACGGUACCCGAAUAAGAAGGUCCGGCUAACUUCGUGCCAGCCGCCGCGGUAAUACA